This 466-nucleotide ribosomal RNA is filed under the name uncultured bacterium. RNAcentral's name for it is "partial 16S ribosomal RNA". It matches the Rfam family "Bacterial small subunit ribosomal RNA", at positions 30 to 507 of the family's 1533-position model. The record is from RNAcentral.
CGACCGCUGGCGGCGUGCUUAACACAUGCAAAUCGAACGGAAAGGCCCUGCUUUUGUGGGGUGCUCGAGUGGCGAACGGGUGAGUAACACGUGAGUAACCUGCCCUUGACUUUGGGAUAACUUCAGGAAACUGGGGCUAAUACCGGAUAGGAGCUCCUGCUGCAUGGUGGGGGUUGGAAAGUUUCGGCGGUUGGGGAUGGACUCGCGGCUUAUCAGCUUGUUGGUGGGGUAGUGGCUUACCAAGGCUUUGACGGGUAGCCGGCCUGAGAGGGUGACCGGCCACAUUGGGACUGAGAUACGGCCCAGACUCCUACGGGAGGCAGCAGUGGGGAAUAUUGCACAAUGGGCGGAAGCCUGAUGCAGCAACGCCGCGUGCGGGAUGACGGCCUUCGGGCUGUAAACCGCUUUCGCCUGUGACGAAGCGUGAGUGACGGUAAUGGGUAAAGAAGCACCGGCUAACUACGUG